RNAcentral lists this long non-coding RNA (1557 nucleotides) under Phascolarctos cinereus (koala). RNAcentral describes it as "lncRNA (ENSPCIG00000034546.1)". Lineage: Eukaryota; Metazoa; Chordata; Mammalia; Diprotodontia; Phascolarctidae. The record is from RNAcentral.
GCAUCUCUCUUCAUGUGCCCAUGAUAUUCAUUAUCUGUUUUCUAAUCUUCAAAAUAAAAAGGAUAAAGAAUACAAAUAAUCACAGCUCUGGUCAAAAUCUUUCCUUUGAGAAACCAAAGAAAGAGAAGCCCAUGGAGCCAGACCCCAAGAAAGAGAAUAUUCUCAAUCACAAUGAGAAGGAAAUUUGUUUGACUGGGCUGAACAUUUUUGUUCCAAGAGCUUUUUCUUCUUUUUUCAUUGGUUUGGGAGGAUAGUAAGGAAAGAAGCUGAAAUACUUUUUUUUGGUCUUUUCCUCAUGCAGAAUCAAACAUAUAUUUUUCAGAUACAGAUGAAAUACAGUGACACAUGCAGGUGUUUAUUUUACUUGGUUAUGUGAAUUUGUUUCAAAAAGAUGUUUUUUAAUUGUAAGGAUGGGAAGCAGAGAAAAUAGAUGAUUGUUAAUUGAAAAAAAGAGUAAAAUAGAAUUUUAAAAAUCAAAGGAGAGUUGAAGCAUAUUUUAAAAGUAAAGAUUGCUGAAGUAUGUUUUUUAAAAGCAAAGCCAAAAAUGACAUAAGCCUUACAGAUAAGCCUCAAAACUAAAGAAAAUAAUUGAAUAUUCAGUGAAAAGAAAGAAUUUGAAUACUUUCUUCAAAAGAAUCCAGGGAUGAGAGGGGCAUUCAACACGUAAAUUGAUCAAGCUGAAGAAAGUUAAGUCCUUUCAGAUAGAGGUAAGAGUAAGAAAUGAAAUGUUUUCCCAUCCAAGAGAGAUAAGGACAUGAGUUUGGAGUAGAAAAGUAUUGCUGCUUCUUUCUUUGCUUUUCCUUUAGAAAAAAAAAAGCUUCACACACUGUCUGGGAGGCUUUGCAAAGGCAAGGAAGGUUACAGUUGGCUAACAAAUCUGAGGAAUAGUAGAGGAAAUAGGAAGAGAAGUUAACUUCAGGGCCAAAAAAGCUUAUCCUCUCAUUGACAAACAAAUAUUGUUUGUGGGAAAAUAGAGCGGAAUUCCCCUGGGUUAGGGAGAAAAGGAGGUGCUACAGAAAGGCCUGUGUAGUCUAGUCAUGACUUAAGAGAAGUGUACAAGAAACCUUCAAUCCCCACACAGAUACACACAUCUGUAUCAAGAUCAUGAAUUCCAUGAAGCCAUCUUUGAAUCAGGAAGAUUUAUUAAUGACCUGGGAAGGCCGGGCAUCCCGCAUGUGUAAGAGCACACAUGUGACAGCACAGGAAUUGACAAAUGCACACCUUUUUAUUCCCUAUUCCUCACUUUCCCCCAAUUUCCCUUAUUCCCCAGUUUCCUUCUCCUGUCUCCCUAUUUGCUGGGUACUGUAGAGGUUAAUUUCCCCAAGUCUCCGCCCCUAAUUGCAUCUCCCAUUUCCCGCAAUUCAGGAAACCUGGCCCUUACUUGGGAACACCCCUUUUGAUGUUAAAUAUCUAAUCUUAGAAGUGGUUUCCCAUCUGUUAAUCUAUUCACCACCAAGAGUGUUUUCUUUAACUCCUUUUGUUCAACUUCCACUUAGCCCCCAGACUGCAUUCCUUUCCACUUGACUUUUGUGGAAAUAAAAAAAAAUUAAAAAAGCA